RNAcentral lists this unclassified non-coding RNA (1924 nucleotides) under Leishmania donovani. RNAcentral's name for it is "gene:unknown". Lineage: Eukaryota; Euglenozoa; Kinetoplastea; Trypanosomatida; Trypanosomatidae. The record is from RNAcentral.
GCCUGACCUCUUGUUUGCGUGCCUGCUCUCUCUAUUCUUUCUUACCGUCACACAGCCGUCUUGCCACUGUGCUAUUCUGACGCGUCCGACCAGGCGCCUCGCCCUGUCUCCCUCUUCAUCACUGUCCGCGUGACCACCAUUUUCGUAGCUGCGCAUUGCGUGAUUUUUUUUUCUCCGCACGUUAUCGCUUGCGUUUCGACUUCCUGUGCCCCACACCAUCUUCAGAAUCGAGGCGCUGUCAGAGACCAUGCACACCAGUGCGCAUGCUUGACACCGGUGUUUCUUUGGUGAGUUGACAGGAACGCGAACGGGUCUGCGCCACACCCAGAGGGACAAAGUCCGGCGCACAUCCUCACGCAAUGUGCUCUCGUCCUCUUUUGCUUGGUGUUUUAUCCUCCUUUUCUUCGAACGCGAAUCGGUCGCCACCCCUCCUGCCACUGCUGCCGAAGCGCUCCCCUCACAGCAGCGAGAAGAAUGCGACAAGGAACGCACACACAUCGCUCGAAACGUCUAGCUCGCAUCUGCGUGGGUCUCUUCGUCACAACCGGUGUAGUAGAGCCACGACGAAGGAGAAAGUGGGCCCCUUGUUCCUUACAUCAAUCGUUUUUUUCAUACCCCAUCGGCAGCUCCGCGUUCUCUUUUCUGCCUUCGAUCCACGAACCCUACACAGCAUUCCCCACCCGCCCCGCUCGCCUGCACCUUGCACGAUAAGCUAAGCAUUUUUGAGUACUGCGUUCUGUGUCUGUGGCUUUGCUGCACUUUAAAGGACAUCAAUAAACACGCAAAACGAUGUCUGUGUUCUUCCGCUGCUCCUCGGCCUCUGUCGUCCCAUCUCUCUGUGUUCGUUCCCGCGCCCCUCCUCCCCUUUCCCCCACUAGCCACCCCCCCCUCCUCUUGGCCGCUGCUCGGCCAUGCGUUGCCACACGCUGCACUCAUAGCUUGACGUUGCUGGUCUAUCCCUCAUCAGGCGAUGCGCUGGUGGCCCAGAAAGAAGCCGCGUAGACGACUAUGUCGGCGACGCUGCUCACUCUCUGUCCCUGUUUUCGAUUACGGGCCACUAUGAUGGUGGCGAUAGUACGAGUAGUCGCCGUUCCCCUACCCUGAAGUGCAGCACGGCUACAUAACGACCCAAACAACGGACACGCGUUUGGCGAGAGGGUCAGAAAAAGACGGCAAAGAAAAGAAGCGAAACGGAAGGGAGCCGCUGAAAAAAAAAGAGAAGGAUGUCCUCGUACCCGUGCUGGGCAUGCUGUAUGUGUCGCACCGCGCCCUCUACACAAUUGUAGGUCUACCGCUCUCACUCCUCCUGUGAUGUGCUCUCGUCUUCUGCCAUCUCCUCUAGGCGACUCUACGGGGCCGCCGUCGAUGGCGCUGCGAUCUUCUUUGUUGUCGCCCUACCGCGAACAAAGCCUCGACCUCUGUGCGCGACGCUCGUGUUUCUGCUUCAUUCUUCUUCCGUGGUCCAAGUCUCUGUGCACAUGCGGGGCUGCUUCUCGGGUUCGCUUCAUGCUGUUUGUGCAUGCAGGGUGUAUGAGUCUUCAUGGCUUUCUACUGCUCGAAGGCCGAAAAGCACGUGAGUAGACGCCGAAACAACUGGCCGCAGUGGUGUGCUCGCCCGCUGUCCACCACGUAGAUGCAGUAAAUCAGGGUGCAGGGCGCAGAAGUGAUGUUUCGACCGCAAAGGCGGCUCCGCAACGCUUCGCCUCGCCUUCUUCGCCUCCUCUAUCGGCCGUGUACUUUCCUGCAGCUGCAAGCGGCAUCAGCGUACACUGGCGUUCACGUCUCUCUCUAGCGCGCUCUCUCUUCUGCCUGCGUCUUCAUGUCCGCUGCCGAUGGUGCGGCACGCUUCUCACGCAAUCACGUCCAUCUCUCCCUUCUUUUUUUUUUGGGGGGGGGGCCUGUGCCACACAUCCGCAUGGGCCAG